UACGGAGGGUGCGAGCGUUGUCCGGAUUUAUUGGGUUUAAAGGGUGCGUAGGUGGCUUUAUAAGUCAGUGGUGAAAUACGGUUGCUCAACAAUCGAGGUGCCAUUGAUACUGUAAAGCUUGAAAUAAUUGGAGGCUGCCGGAAUGGAUGGUGUAGCGGUGAAAUGCAUAGAUAUCAUCCAGAACACCGAUUGCGAAGGCAGGUGGCUACGAUUGGUUUGACACUGAGGCACGAAAGCAUGGGGAGCAAACAGGAUUAGAAACCCCCGUAGUCC
This 273-nucleotide ribosomal RNA is filed under the name uncultured bacterium. RNAcentral's name for it is "partial 16S ribosomal RNA". It matches the Rfam family "Bacterial small subunit ribosomal RNA", at positions 524 to 796 of the family's 1533-position model. The record is from RNAcentral.